RNAcentral lists this transfer RNA (77 nucleotides) under Variovorax sp. NFACC29. RNAcentral's name for it is "tRNA-Met". It matches the Rfam family "tRNA". Rfam says of the family: Transfer RNA (tRNA) molecules are approximately 80 nucleotides in length. Their secondary structure includes four short double-helical elements and three loops (D, anti-codon, and T loops). Further hydrogen bonds mediate the characteristic L-shaped molecular structure. tRNAs have two regions of fundamental functional importance: the anti-codon, which is responsible for specific mRNA codon recognition, and the 3' end, to which the tRNAs corresponding amino acid is attached (by aminoacyl-tRNA synthetases). tRNAs cope with the degeneracy of the genetic code in two manners: having more than one tRNA (with a specific anti-codon) for a particular amino acid; and 'wobble' base-pairing, i.e. permitting non-standard base-pairing at the 3rd anti-codon position. RNAcentral also lists the same sequence under 3 other names. Lineage: Bacteria; Pseudomonadati; Pseudomonadota; Betaproteobacteria; Burkholderiales; Comamonadaceae. The record is from RNAcentral.
CGCGGUGUAGCUCAGCCUGGUAGAGCACAGGGCUCAUAACCCAGUGGUCGGCAGUUCAAAUCUGCCCAUCGCAACCA